CGUCGACCGGCGCACGGGUGAGUAACGCGUAUCCAACCUGCCCAUUACAGGGGAAUAACCUUGCGAAAGUAAGACUAAUGCCCCAUGGUAUUCUCAGCAGACAUCUAAUGAGGAUUAAAGAUUUAUCGGUAAUGGAUGGGGAUGCGUCUGAUUAGCUUGUUGGCGGGGUAACGGCCCACCAAGGCGACGAUCAGUAGGGGUUCUGAGAGGAAGGUCCCCCACAUUGGAACUGAGACACGGUCCAA
RNAcentral lists this ribosomal RNA (245 nucleotides) under uncultured Bacteroidales bacterium. RNAcentral's name for it is "partial 16S ribosomal RNA". It matches the Rfam family "Bacterial small subunit ribosomal RNA", at positions 89 to 334 of the family's 1533-position model. The record is from RNAcentral. Lineage: Bacteria; Pseudomonadati; Bacteroidota; Bacteroidia; Bacteroidales.